RNAcentral lists this ribosomal RNA (255 nucleotides) under uncultured bacterium. RNAcentral's name for it is "partial 16S ribosomal RNA". It matches the Rfam family "Bacterial small subunit ribosomal RNA", at positions 524 to 776 of the family's 1533-position model. The record is from RNAcentral.
UACGUAGGGUGCGAGCGUUGUCCGGAUUUAUUGGGCGUAAAGAGCUCGUAGGCGGUUUGUCGCGUCGGCCGUGAAAUCUCCACGCUUAACGUGGAGCGUGCGGUCGAUACGGGCAGACUAGAGUGCGGUAGGGGGUGACUGGAAUUCCUGGUGUAGCGGUGGAAUGCGCAGAUAUCAGGAGGAACACCGAUGGCGAAGGCAGGUCACUGGGCCGCAACUGACGCUGAGGAGCGAAAGCAUGGGGGAGCGAACAGG